GGACCGCUAUCUCAGCUGGAAGAGAAGCCGCCUCAUAAGCGGCGGGUCCUGGGUUCGAAUCCCAGGUGGUCCA
RNAcentral lists this transfer RNA (73 nucleotides) under Bacteriophage sp. Its description in RNAcentral is "tRNA-Met". It matches the Rfam family "tRNA". From Rfam's summary of the family: Transfer RNA (tRNA) molecules are approximately 80 nucleotides in length. Their secondary structure includes four short double-helical elements and three loops (D, anti-codon, and T loops). Further hydrogen bonds mediate the characteristic L-shaped molecular structure. tRNAs have two regions of fundamental functional importance: the anti-codon, which is responsible for specific mRNA codon recognition, and the 3' end, to which the tRNAs corresponding amino acid is attached (by aminoacyl-tRNA synthetases). tRNAs cope with the degeneracy of the genetic code in two manners: having more than one tRNA (with a specific anti-codon) for a particular amino acid; and 'wobble' base-pairing, i.e. permitting non-standard base-pairing at the 3rd anti-codon position. The record is from RNAcentral.